This 641-nucleotide ribosomal RNA is filed under the name uncultured marine eukaryote. Its description in RNAcentral is "bacterial SSU rRNA". It matches the Rfam family "Eukaryotic small subunit ribosomal RNA", at positions 618 to 1257 of the family's 1831-position model. The record is from RNAcentral.
GUUAAAAAGCUCGUAGUUGGAUUUCUGCGGGGGCGGGGCGGCCGGAUGCUUAUAGCAUCUCGAGCUAGCACUUCCCCUGCAUCCUGCCGCGAACCGUGCUACCAUUAGUUUGGUGGCGCUGGGGAUCGGCUCGUUUACUUUGAGAAAAAUAGAGUGUACAAAGCAGGCCACACGCCUUGAAUAAGUUAGCAUGGAAUAAUGAUAAAGGACUUCGGUUCUAUUUUGUUGGUGUUCGGGACUGAAGUAAUGAUUGAUAGGGACAGUUGGGGCGGUCCGUAUUCCAAAGCGAGAGGUGAAAUUCUUAGACCUUCGGAAGACGAACAGCUGCGAAAGCGUUCCGCAAGGAUGUUCCCUUUGAUCAAGAACGAAAGUUGGGGGAUCGAAGACGAUCAGAUACCGUCGUAGUCUCAACUAUAAACUAUACCAGCUAGGGAUCGGCCAACGUUUAAUUACACCGACUUGGUCGGCACCUUAUGAGAAAUCAAAGCAUCUGGGUUCCGGGGGGAGUAUGGUCGCAAGGCUGAAACUUAAAGGAAUUGACGGAAGGGCACCACCAGCCGUGGAGCCUGUGGCUUAAUUUGACUCAACACGGGAAAACUUACCAGGUCCAGACAUAGUAAGGAUUGACAGAUUGAUAGCUC